This 519-nucleotide ribosomal RNA is filed under the name uncultured eukaryote. RNAcentral describes it as "SSU rRNA". It matches the Rfam family "Eukaryotic small subunit ribosomal RNA", at positions 1161 to 1705 of the family's 1831-position model. The record is from RNAcentral.
AGGGCACCACCAGGAGUGGAGCCUGCGGCUUAAUUUGACUCAACACGGGGAAACUCACCCGGCCCGGACACCGUAAGGAUUGACAGAUUGAUAGCUUUUUCAUGAUUCGGGGGAUGGUGGUGCAUGGCCGUUCUUAGUUCGUGGAGCGAUUUGUCUGGUUUAUUCCGAUAACGAGCGAGACUCUAGCCUACUAAAUAGUUCGCACAUUGUCUCUGUGUGUGUGACUUCUUAGAGGGAUUUUCGGUGUUCAGCCGCAAGAAAUUGAGCAAUAACAGGUCUGUGAUGCCCUUAGAUGUCCGGGGCUGCACGCGCGCUACACUGGCAAAAUCAGCGUGCUUGUCCUUCCCCGAAAGGGGUUGGUAAACCCUUGAAAAUUUGCCGUGAUUGGUAUUGGAAAUUGCUAUUAUUUUCCAUGAACGAGGAAUUCCAAGUAAGUGCGAGUCAUCAGCUCGCGCUGAUUACGUCCCUGCCCUUUGUACACACCGCCCGUCGCUGCCCGGGACUGAGCCAUUUCGAGAA